This 432-nucleotide ribosomal RNA is filed under the name uncultured bacterium. Its description in RNAcentral is "partial 16S ribosomal RNA". It matches the Rfam family "Bacterial small subunit ribosomal RNA", at positions 29 to 507 of the family's 1533-position model. The record is from RNAcentral.
ACGAACGCUGGCGGCAUGCCUAACACAUGCAAGUCGAACGAGACCUUCGGGUCUAGUGGCGCACGGGUGCGUAACGCGUGGGAACCUGCCCUUAGGUUCGGAAUAACUCCCCGAAAGGGGUGCUAAUACCGGAUAAUGUCUUCGGACCAAAGAUUUAUCGCCUUUGGAUGGGCCCGCGUUGGAUUAGCUAGUUGGUAGGGUAAAAGCCUACCAAGGCGACGAUCCAUAGCUGGUCUGAGAGGAUGAUCAGCCACACUGGGACUGAGACACGGCCCAGACUCCUACGGGAGGCAGCAGUGGGGAAUAUUGGACAAUGGGCGAAAGCCUGAUCCAGCAAUGCCGCGUGAGUGAUGAAGGCCUUAGGGUUGUAAAGCUCUUUUACCCGGGAUGAUAAUGACAUUACCGUGAGAAUAAGCUCCGGCUAACUCCGUG